This 516-nucleotide ribosomal RNA is filed under the name Simulium mie. Its description in RNAcentral is "partial 16S ribosomal RNA". It matches the Rfam family "Bacterial large subunit ribosomal RNA", at positions 1825 to 2601 of the family's 2925-position model. The record is from RNAcentral. Lineage: Eukaryota; Metazoa; Arthropoda; Insecta; Diptera; Simuliidae.
GUCUUUUUGGUAUUUAAUAUAAAGUCUGACCUGCCCACUGAAUAUUGUUUGAAGGGCCGCAGUAUUUUGACUGUGCAAAGGUAGCAUAAUCAUUAGUCUUUUAAUUGAAGGCUGGUAUGAAUGGUUGGAUGAGAUACAAGCUGUGUCAUAAAAAUUAAUAUUUGAAUUUAACUUUUUAGUCAAAAGGCUAAAAUAAUCUUAAAAGACGAGAAGACCCCAUAGAGCUUUAUAUAAUAUAUAUUUAAUUUAUUAAGAUUUAUUAAAUUUAGUUAUUUUGUUAUAUUUUGUUGGGGUGACAAUAAAAUUUAUAAAACUUUUAUUUUUAGUUAACAUUAAUUUAUGAUUAAAUGAUCCAGUUUUAUUGAUUAUAAAUUUAAGUUACCUUGGGGAUAACAGCGUAAUUUUUUUUGAGAGUUCUUAUCGACAAAAAAGAUUGCGACCUCGAUGUUGGAUUAAGAGUAAUUUUGGGUGUAGAAGUUCAAAAUUUAAGUCUGUUCGACUUUUAAAUUCUUACAU